This 205-nucleotide ribosomal RNA is filed under the name uncultured bacterium. RNAcentral's name for it is "partial 16S ribosomal RNA". It matches the Rfam family "Bacterial small subunit ribosomal RNA", at positions 524 to 727 of the family's 1533-position model. The record is from RNAcentral.
UACGGAGGGUGCAAGCGUUAUCCGGAUUUACUGGGUUUAAAGGGUGUGUAGGCGGGCUAUUAAGUCAGUGGUGAAAUCCUCCGAGCUUAACUUGGAAACUGCCAUUGAUACUAUUAGUCUUGAAUUUUGUUGAGGUAGGCGGAAUAAGUCAUGUAGCGGUGAAAUGCUUAGAUAUGACUUAGAACACCAAUUGCGAAGGCAGCUU